UCACGCAUCGCGUCUCCCCCAAAUCCACCCCGAGUGGAGGGGAAGGAGGAUGGUCUCCCGCGACUCACCGGUCGCGGAUGGCCUAAAACUGGAGCCCUCGGCAUUGGGAUGUCGCGGCGAUAGGUGGUGAACAAGGCCUCGGCCAAGCAAGCAACCCGCCGCGCGUCGCCAUGCCAAAGUGAGCUCGAAGGACCCUUUGAAGUUGCCUAAGGGCAACCUAACCGUUGCGAC
Molecule: ribosomal RNA, 231 nt
Filed under: Silene viscosa
Lineage: Eukaryota; Viridiplantae; Streptophyta; Magnoliopsida; Caryophyllales; Caryophyllaceae
Source: RNAcentral